Molecule: ribosomal RNA, 778 nt
Filed under: uncultured bacterium
Lineage: Bacteria
Description: bacterial SSU rRNA
Rfam family: Bacterial small subunit ribosomal RNA
Source: RNAcentral
UGGCUCAGAUUGAACGCUGGCGGCAUGCUUUACACAUGCAAGUCGGACGGCAGCGGGGUAGUGCUUGCACUACUGCCGGCGAGUGGCGAACGGGUGAGUAAUAUAUUGGAACGUACCGAGUAAUGGGGGAUAACCAAUCGAAAGAUUGGCUAAUACCGCAUACGCUCCGAGGAGGAAAGCAGGGGACCUUCGGGCCUUGCGUUAUUCGAGCGGCCAAUAUCUGAUUAGCUAGUUGGUGGGGUAAAGGCCUACCAAGGCAACGAUCAGUAGCGGGUCUGAGAGGAUGAUCCGCCACACUGGGACUGAGACACGGCCCAGACUCCUACGGGAGGCAGCAGUGGGGAAUUUUGGACAAUGGGCGCAAGCCUGAUCCAGCCAUGCCGCGUGUCUGAAGAAGGCCUUCGGGUUGUAAAGGACUUUUGUUAGGGAAGAAAAAGGAGCGGUUAAUACCCGUUUCUGCUGACGGUACCUAAAGAAUAAGCACCGGCUAACUACGUGCCAGCAGCCGCGGUAAUACGUAGGGUGCGAGCGUUAAUCGGAAUUACUGGGCGUAAAGCGAGCGCAGGCGGUUAGAUAAGUCUGAAGUUAAAGGCUGUGGCUUAACCAUAGUACGCUUUGGAAACUGUUUAACUUGAGUGCAAGAGGGGAGAGUGGAAUUCCAUGUGUAGCGGUGAAAUGCGUAGAUAUAUGGAGGAACACCGGUGGCGAAAGCGGCUCUCUGGCUUGUAACUGACGCUGAGGCUCGAAAGCGUGGGGAGCAAACAGGAUUAGAUACCCU